This 2409-nucleotide ribosomal RNA is filed under the name Triticum aestivum (bread wheat). RNAcentral's name for it is "partial small subunit ribosomal RNA". The record is from RNAcentral. Lineage: Eukaryota; Viridiplantae; Streptophyta; Magnoliopsida; Poales; Poaceae.
AUGGCCGCCACACCGGACGAGUUCCUGCGGGCGGGGGACGCGGAGCCCUUCUCCCCGUCGCUCUUCCUCGACCUGCCGCCAACGCCGUCGCCCCCGCGCGCCCCCGCCUCCGACGACCUCGACUUCAUCUCGCGCAUGCUCAUGGAGGAGGACAUCGACGACAGGUUCUUCUACCAGUACCCCGACCACCCCGCCAUCCUCUCCGCGCAGCACCGCUUCGCCCAGAUCAUCUCCGACUCCAACACCAACCCAUCCACCGACGACUCCGCCGUCGCCAGCUCCACCUUCUCCUCCGACUCUGCUACCGCCAGAUCGGCCUCCUCCUGCUCCGACUCUGCCACAAACACCGCCAAAUCGACCUCCUCCUCCCACUCCGCCACCACCAACACCGCCAACUCCACCUCCUGUUCCCCCUCACCCGGCGGCUUCGGCCCCGCCAAUCCCACCUGGCCUUACGAGCGAAUCGAUCUCUCCCAGCCCCUCCACUCCCCGCCAUACAUCGGCCUGGGCUUCCCCGUCGACGGUGCCAACAACCUCCUCUUUUCCGGCGUCAGCACGCCCACCUCGGGAUAUUUCGGGCACACUCCGGCGCUCUCCAGGGGCAACAGCAACCAUUUCGUCGCCCCCGCUGGCCAGAACGGCCGCAGCACGGGCAUUCAGAGCUUUGCGACAUUCUCGAAUAGUAGCGCCACCAAGGACGCCAAGACCUUGUCGAACAAUGCCACGGCGAAGGCGGCCAAGCCGGCUACUCAGGCCGCUUGCCGAGGUGGCCCAGGCACCCCGGCCUCGGCCUUCUUCUUCAAUGGCCAGACCGACGGUGACAUGGACAUGCUCAACAUGGCGUUUCGCAAGGGCAUGGAGGAGGCCAACAAGUUCUUGCCCACCAACAACACCCUCGACGCCAUUUCCAACAGGCCGGCACUGCGCGACUUGACCUGUGACCAGUUGAAGAAGGAGGAGGCGGAUAGACUCAGAAUGUUGAUGUUCAGUAAUGGCCGGGGGCGCAAGAACAGGCAUGGCGUGGAAGACUUGGAGGCGGAGGCUGGCCGGAGAAGCAAGCUGAUGAUGCCGGAACAGGAGGAAUCUGGGGUAGGCGAGAUGGUCGAGGAAAUAAUGCUUCACGGCCACGACAUCAUCAUGAAGGGGAUAGAGGAUCUGCAAAUAGCAAUGGGCACCGAGGCCGAGAAGAACCACAGGAAGGGCACCGGCAAGGCAGCGCGGGGGAGGCGGGGUGCAACCGAGGUCGACCUCCGCACCAUGCUCAUCCACUGUGCGCAGGCGGUGGCCACGGGCGACCACCGGGGAUCGAACGAGCUACUCAGGCAGAUUAAGCAACACUCGUCGCCUAAGGGGGAUGCCACACAGAGGCUGGCGUAUUGUUUCGCCGAGGGACUGGAAGCACGCCUUGCAGGCACGGGCAGCCAUGUGUAUCGGUCGCUCGUGGCCAAGAGCACCUCGGUCGGAGAGUUCCUCAGGGCCUACAAGCUCUACAUGGCAGCCAGCAGUUUCAGGAAGGUGAAUUUUAUUUUUGUUGGCAAGAUCAUCAUGGAUGCCAUGGUCGGGAAGAGCCGCUUGCACAUCGUGGAUUACAAUGUGGAAUAUGGAUUCCAGUGGCCAGAUUUGCUACAGAUGCUAGCGGAAAGGGAAGGCGGGCCGCCAGAGGUGAGGAUCACUGGCAUUGACGUCCCUCAGCCUGGGUUCCGCCCAGCCUUCCAGAUCGAGGAGACAGGCCGUCGGCUCAGCAAAUGUGCCCAAGAGUUUGGCGUGCCAUUCAGGUACCAUGGUAUACCCGCAAAGUUGGAGACAGUCCAUGCGGAGGACCUAAAUAUCGACCCAAAUGAGGUGCUCAUCGUCACCAGCCAGUGUGGUUUCAGCAACUUGAUGGACGAAAGUGUUAUCAUGGACAGGCAGGACAUCCCGAGCCCCAGAGACAUGGUCCUUACCAACAUUCGCAACAUGCGGCCUGAUGUGUUCAUUGACUGCGUUGUGAAUGGAACCUAUAGCGCGCCUUUCUUCGUGACACGAUUCCGGGAGGCACUCUUCACCUAUUCGGCGCAAUUCGACAUGCUGGAUGCGACCAUCCCCCGUGACAAUGACGACCGGCUGCUCAUCGAGCGGGAUAUCUUCGGGCCAUGUGCCCUGAAUGUCAUUGCCUGCGAGGAUGCAGAUCGGGUGGAUCGGCCUGAGACUUAUAAGCAAUGGCAGGUGCGGGGCCACCGGGCUGGGCUGAGGCAGGUGCCAUUGAGCUCGGCUGUUGUUAAGCUUGUGAAGGAUAAGGUUAAGAGCCUCUACCACAAGGACUUUCUCAUCGACGUGGAUAACCGUUGGUUGCUGCAGGGGUGGAAAGGGCGGGUACUCUAUGCCAUGUCGACAUGGGUAGCUGGUGACCAUGAUAUCUCCAAAUUUUAG